CGAACGCUGGCGGCGUGCCUAAUACAUGCAAGUCGAACGGUCUUUCUAUGGAAGCUUGCUUCCACUGAGAAGAUAGUGGCGAACGGGUGAGUAACACGUGGGUAACCUGCCCAUAAGAGGGGGGAUAACAUCCGGAAACGGGUGCUAAUACCGCAUAGUUUUCUUGAUCGCAUGAUCGGGAAAGGAAAGACGGCCUUUGUGCUGUCGCUUAUGGAUGGACCCGCGGCGUAUUAGUUAGUUGGUGAGGUAACGGCUCACCAAGACGAUGAUACGUAGCCGACCUGAGAGGGUGAUCGGCCACAUUGGGACUGAGACACGGCCCAAACUCCUACGGGAGGCAGCAGUAGGGAAUCUUCCGCAAUGGACGAAAGUCUGACGGAGCAACGCCGCGUGAGUGAAGAAAGGUUUUCGGAUCGUAAAACUCUGUUGUCAGAGAAGAACAAGUUGGAGAGUAACUGCUCCAGCCUUGACGGUAUCUGACCAGAAAGCCACGGCUAACUACGUGCCAGCAGCCGC
RNAcentral lists this ribosomal RNA (516 nucleotides) under uncultured bacterium. RNAcentral's name for it is "bacterial SSU rRNA". It matches the Rfam family "Bacterial small subunit ribosomal RNA", at positions 30 to 518 of the family's 1533-position model. The record is from RNAcentral.